GACGGAGGAUGCAAGUGUUAUCCGGAAUCACUGGGCGUAAAGCGUCUGUAGGUGGUCAAAUAAGUCAACUGUUAAAUCUUGAGGCUCAACCUCAAAAUCGCAGUCGAAACUAUUCGACUAGAGUAUAGUAGGGGUAAAGGGAAUUUCCAGUGGAGCGGUGAAAUGCGUAGAGAUCGGAAGGAACGCCGGUGGCGAAAGCGGCACGCUGGACCUCUUCUGACGCUGAGGCGCGAAAGCCAGGGGAGCAAACGGG
Molecule: ribosomal RNA, 253 nt
Filed under: uncultured bacterium
Lineage: Bacteria
Description: partial 16S ribosomal RNA
Rfam family: Bacterial small subunit ribosomal RNA
Source: RNAcentral